UACGUAGGGGGCAGGCGUUGUCCGGAAUCAUUGGGCGUAAAGAGCGUGUAGGCGGCUCGAUAAGUCUGCUGUGAAAGUCCAGGGCUCAACCCUGGAAGGCCGGUGGAAACUGUCGGGCUAGAGUCCGGAAGAGGCGAGUGGAAUUCCCGGUGUAGCGGUGAAAUGCGCAGAUAUCGGGAGGAACACCAAUGGCGAAGGCAGCUCGCUGGGACGGUACUGACGCUGAGACGCGAAAGCGUGGGGAGCAAACAGG
RNAcentral lists this ribosomal RNA (253 nucleotides) under uncultured bacterium. RNAcentral describes it as "partial 16S ribosomal RNA". It matches the Rfam family "Bacterial small subunit ribosomal RNA", at positions 524 to 776 of the family's 1533-position model. The record is from RNAcentral.